GUUUUAACCAAUUUCAGCAAUUUCAAGAAUGAUACACACGUGGAAUACAAAUGUUUUAUUUCAUGAACGUUAGUGUUUAUUACUGGGGAGUAAUCGUACUAUAAAACUUUGCUUUAGCGAUGUGAUUGAAUCUUUCUUCACAACAAUACCUUGAACUAAAUGAAAACCGUAAAAUAUGCGAUUUUUUACGUAAUCUUUGAACGCGAUUUGUUGUUAGAAAAAGUAAAUCUGUGAAAAAUUGAUAACAGCAUUCAAAAGUGCAAACUUUCAGCUUUCCAACGCUUUUUUUUAGCGCUGUACGUUGAUUUCAUGAGUAACAAGCGAUGAAAGUCAAAAUGAGCAUUUUUUAUUAAAAUCUCAAUAACUCGGUCAAAAAAAAUCGUACAGCAAUGAACAACCACUCAAAUUAAAGGAAAAAGUUCCCGCUCUAAGAUACAUACUCUAUGAUCAAGAGGCACGGUAGUGCCUCGCGCUAAGUGUAUGCGCAGCGAGGCACCACCGUGCUUCUUUUACGCGAGACGUCGUUUGCGAGAAGACCGUAGUUAUCGGAUCUCAAUAACGACUUAAUUGAUUGAUUUCUAAAUAGGCUUAAUGGAUAGCUUACAUCCGAUUUAUAUAAUAAAAGUGUUUUUAUUUUUCCGCUAUAUGACUUACGAGCGGAGAUAUCGCGAUUAGAAUUUUUCGCUCAAGAGUAAAUUUGGUUUAAGAAACGUCGUAGUCAUCAUCAUUAUUAUCGUCGUCGCCCGGCGCCUAGGACGAAUGGUGGGGAUUUGUACUGUUGUAUCCUCCUUUAUUUUUUGUGCUCACACAUUUGACAACAAGGAUGAACGAUGCACCAUGCGCCAUGAAACGGAACGCACCAUGUGUAUCGUGAUUGGUGAAGAUAAUCGAAUCCGCGCCGCCGCGUGUCGAUCAGGGGCUGUAAUCUCUUAUGUAUUUUUCGUGACCAGCGUUUGUUGCGCCACCGCUGUAAGCGAACCCGCCGAACCGAACUAAAAUGCAAUAUGGCCGUCUAAAAUCAACAUGGCCGUAGUAAUGAGUUCCGUUCAACAAGCAAAGUGAAGCAAAGCUUACGAGCGAAGAAGGAGGUUAUUUCUUACGAACGGAAUAAUUUAAAACUGAUGACACCAGUAGCUGUUCUUAUGUGUACACCAGCCUUCGACACCAUAUAGAAUAAAGAUGCUGUCAGAGGAGUUAGAUGAGGGAGCUACAACCAAGAAAAAGCAAUCUGUGAUCACAUUACUUAGCUUCGACAAACGAUGACCUAAGUUCAACUGAUUGUAGGCUCUUACGUCCACGUGGAAUCAGCUGCUCCUUUGCAACUUGCAACAGGCUAAGGCUGCGUUCCGAUAUUAAUUGUCAGUACUGAAAAUCUACAGUAUAUGUGACAUAAACUAUAGAUUUUCAGUACUGGCAGUGAAUAUCGAAACGCAGCCUAAGUUACGAAGAAGCAGCUGAUUCCACAUGAACGUAAGAAAGAGGCUACAAUCAGUUGAACUUUGGUCAUCGUUUGUCGAAGCUAAUGGGUGUCAAGACAAAUCACUUGAAUGCAAACUACUUUCCAGUAUGUUGUAGCAUAAGAAAGCAAGAAAAUUGUAUUGGAGGAGAAACAACGUGAUUUAGAGAAUAAGGUGCUCUGUCACAUAGAAUGUAAUUCUAUUAUAAAAACAUGUAAUGGUUCCAUAAAAUAAAUAAGUUCAAAAAA
Long non-coding RNA from Monomorium pharaonis (pharaoh ant), 1705 nucleotides. RefSeq lists it as uncharacterized. The transcript is spliced from 2 exons. The record is from RefSeq and is a predicted model, not a curated record. NCBI's taxonomy places the organism in Eukaryota, Metazoa, Arthropoda, Insecta, Hymenoptera, Formicidae.